RNAcentral lists this ribosomal RNA (460 nucleotides) under uncultured bacterium. Its description in RNAcentral is "partial 16S ribosomal RNA". It matches the Rfam family "Bacterial small subunit ribosomal RNA", at positions 338 to 795 of the family's 1533-position model. The record is from RNAcentral.
CCUACGGGAGGCAGCAGUGAGGAAUAUUGGUCAAUGGGCUUACGCCUGAACCAGCCAAGUCGCGUGAGGGAAGACUGCCCUAUGGGUUGUAAACCUCUUUUGUCAGGGAGCAACGCCGGCUACGUGUAGCCGGACUGAGAGUACCUGAAGAAAAAGCAUCGGCUAACUCCGUGCCAGCAGCCGCGGUAAUCCGGAGGAUGCGAGCGUUAUCCGGAUUUAUUGGGUUUAAAGGGUGCGUGGGCGGAAUGCCAAGUCAGCGGUAAAGUCGCGGGGCUCAACCUCGCUCCGCCGUUGAUACUGGCGUUCUUGAGUGGGCGAGAAGUAUGCGGAAUGCGUGGUGUAGCGGUGAAAUGCAUAGAUAUCACGCAGAACUCCGAUUGCGAAGGCAGCAUACCGGCGCCCAACUGACGCUGAAGCACGAAAGCGUGGGUAUCGAACAGGAUUAGAUACCCGAGUAGUC